GCUUGUAUUCGAUAAAAUUCAGUGGGGGUGAGUGUAACAGAGUUACAAAUGUACUUUUUUUUUAUUAUUUCAAAAUAAUUUUAUAUUGAGAAUUUGUGAAUUUUAUCUUAUUCAGUUAUGUUUAUUUGUUUUGUUGUUUUUUUUGCCUGCGGGGGUCGCUUUUUUGCACUCUGCCUUGUUUGUGUCUCCUGGGCUUCCGUAGUUCAUUCCAGCCCUCGUAGCUCCUCCGCCUUCCCCUUUUCCCUCACAGCGUUGUUGCGCGCUGCUGCGGGGCUGGAAUGCAGGGAAACUGAAUUGAAGAGGAGGUUAAUUUGUUUUUACUCUUCUUUCCCAGAAUAAAAGCUCUCAUUGAAACCUGGUCGAAUGUCAUCAUU
Molecule: long non-coding RNA, 374 nt
Organism: Fundulus heteroclitus (mummichog)
Lineage: Eukaryota; Metazoa; Chordata; Actinopteri; Cyprinodontiformes; Fundulidae
Exons: 3
Source: RefSeq, a predicted model, not a curated record